AUGGCGGGGGCUGAAGUAGGUCAUGUGGUGUUGGAUAACAGCGAUACUGAAGUCUCAGAGGUUGUGGAAUGCGAUUCCACAGUUGUAGAAGUGCUGGAGAAGAGUGCCAGUAAAGAAUUUGGUUUGCAACUUCCCUUGGGAAACAAGGAAGACAUAGAAUCCCUCGGCACAGUUUGUGAUCUUGAGAAUAACGAGGGUAAUGCUGCUGAGGCAAUCACUCUGAACGUGGUUGCACUAGAAAUGUCCAUCUCUUGCAAGGCUCCAGAUGAAAGUAUUUCACUGGGUUGUCAAACACCAAGGGGAAACAUCUUUGACCCCUUCGCUCCAGGACCAGAGGAGGCGCUCUGUGGUGCGCCGAAGAAGAACGUGGUCAGGGGAGUAGAGACCCUCUCCCGCAGGAAGCUCAUUUUUGAAUCUGAUGACUUCCCAGUCAAGAGGUUAAGCUUUGAGUUUGAUGAUUCGGAGGAGGAAGAUCUGUAUCUCCAGGGGAUCUGCAAGAUGUUUCUUGAUCUGAUCAUCUCAAACCAAGCGCUGGAGGCAACCGGAGAUGGCGAGGCUGUUCUGAUAGACGCCAUCCCACCUGAAAGCUACAAGACCCCUGAAUCCAAGCCUCUGCUGACCGGCAUCGCAGACACCUGCCCGGACGCUCCUCUGCGGCCAUCUCUGAAGAUGAUCAAGCUCAGCCCAGGCAUCUGCCGGAAGCUCGACUUCGGUUCGGUCAGCCCCAAGACUCUUUUCGCUGAAGACAAUAAGAGCUGA
RNAcentral lists this ribosomal RNA (759 nucleotides) under Triticum aestivum (bread wheat). Its description in RNAcentral is "partial small subunit ribosomal RNA". The record is from RNAcentral. Lineage: Eukaryota; Viridiplantae; Streptophyta; Magnoliopsida; Poales; Poaceae.